GACGAACGCUGGCGGCGUGCUUAACACAUGCAAGUCGAACGGAACGGCCCUGCUUUUGUGCGCUGCUCGAGUGGCGAACGGGUGAGUAACACGUGAGUAACCUGUCCCUGACUUUGGGGUAACUUCAGGACACUGGGGCUAAUACCGCAUAGGAGCUCCCGCUGCAUGGUGGGGGCUGGAAAGUUUCGGUGGUUGGGGAUGGACUCGCGGCGUAUCGGCUUGAUGGUGGGGUAGUGUCUUACCAAGGCUUUGACGGGUAGCCGGCCUGAGAGGAGGACCGGCCACGCUGGAACGGGAAUACGACACAGACCCCUACGGGACGCAGCGGUGGGGAAUAUUGCAUAAUGGGCGGAAGCCAAGUGCAGCAACGCCGCGUGCGGGGUGACAUGCAGCGGUUAGUAAACCACUGCCGCCUGUGACGAAGCGUGAGUGACGGUAACGGGUAAAGAAGCACCGGCUAACUACGUG
This 468-nucleotide ribosomal RNA is filed under the name uncultured bacterium. RNAcentral's name for it is "partial 16S ribosomal RNA". It matches the Rfam family "Bacterial small subunit ribosomal RNA", at positions 28 to 507 of the family's 1533-position model. The record is from RNAcentral.